RNAcentral lists this ribosomal RNA (460 nucleotides) under Escherichia coli. Its description in RNAcentral is "bacterial SSU rRNA". It matches the Rfam family "Bacterial small subunit ribosomal RNA", at positions 156 to 610 of the family's 1533-position model. Lineage: Bacteria; Pseudomonadati; Pseudomonadota; Gammaproteobacteria; Enterobacterales; Enterobacteriaceae. The record is from RNAcentral.
ACGGUAGCUAAUACCGCAUAACGUCGCAAGACCAAAGAGGGGGACCUUCGGGCCUCUUGCCAUCGGAUGUGCCCAGAUGGGAUUAGCUAGUAGGUGGGGUAACGGCUCACCUAGGCGACGAUCCCUAGCUGGUCUGAGAGGAUGACCAGCCACACUGGAACUGAGACACGGUCCAGACUCCUACGGGAGGCAGCAGUGGGGAAUAUUGCACAAUGGGCGCAAGCCUGAUGCAGCCAUGCCGCGUGUAUGAAGAAGGCCUUCGGGUUGUAAAGUACUUUCAGCGGGGAGGAAGGGAGUAAAGUUAAUACCUUUGCUCAUUGACGUUACCCGCAGAAGAAGCACCGGCUAACUCCGUGCCAGCAGCCGCGGUAAUACGGAGGGUGCAAGCGUUAAUCGGAAUUACUGGGCGUAAAGCGCACGCAGGCGGUUUGUUAAGUCAGAUGUGAAACCCCCCGGGCUC